UGAGGAGCUGCGAUCGCGCGAUGUAUUCAGAGGAAUCAUUUCUUUUUUUUUCUCAAAAUGGCGGCCAAUUUGGGCAAGACGCUCUAUUUCGGCGGGAGUCGUCCACUCGGCCGGAGAAAGGAGGCGAUUCUUUCUUGGCUGGAAUAUUCGCCGUUUUCCCAGAAGUAUCAGGUCUGGGGAUAAUCGCGGCAAUUCGCGAGUAAUGACACACGACGAGCCUAGAGAGCCGGAGUUUCGCAAUGUUCUCCUUCGAGGUCCUGGCGACGUUUACGGCUCUCUUUAGUAGUUGGAUAUUUUUUUUCGAAUUUUUCGGGGCACUGGGAAGACAUAAAGCGGCCCUGAGUUCGAUGAGCAUGCGUAGUGCGGCGCGCGAGCGUAAGGCUCAUAUUCCCGGGGCCGGGCGUGGGGAAGUCGCCCGUAAACGCGCCGGCGCGCGACGACAAUCCCGCGCGGGAGAGAGAGGUCGGAUCGGCGCGGCGGCCGAGAGGGAGAGAGAGGGGAGAGGCACUCGGUCGCGAGUCGAUACUCUAGCACCGGACCAACCGGAUCUAGGUACGGCUGCACCGGCGAGUGCACGUGCACCGGGGCAGACGAAGAGACCCUCUCUAGGUAUAAAGUGCGGACUUGGGUGCGAGAUAGAGAGAAGAGGGAGAGGGAGCCACCGAUACGGGCGACCACGGGAGAGAAGGAGACAGAGCUACCUAGUACUACGCGUUAGCCAAGCGUGAGAGAAAGGCCGGAAUUGGAAUAGUUGAGAAUGAAUUGCGCGUUGUAGAAAAGGGUUUACAAUGAAUAUUGCAAUUUUUCAACGUAUCUCCGAGAUCAUCGACGUUUCCCCAUCUCAUCUAAAUUCCAUAUUAUUUUUAUAUCUACACAUGGAUAUCAAUGAAACUCGCAAAGGGCGAUAUCUGUCUCCAGGGUUGGAAUUGCAGAGCGGAACUUUACCCUUUCGCGGGUUCGAGGGAAGUUGCAUAGUGGCGCCAUCUUGGAUGCUGUAUUCCCAUCGCUGUGUCGAAAAUGUUCCGUUUGGAGGGAAGUUAUCGGUUGAAAAUGGAUAUUGUCUCAGGUGGUGCAGAUUUGUUAAUCGACUUUCAAUUUCAGGUACGGUCGGCGUUACGGAGCAGAAUUUUAUCCUCUCGGGGAAAUAUAUCGCUUGUUGGGAAGUUAUCUGCUGGGAGUGAAUUUUGGAAAUUACCAGACGUGGUCCUGUGAAUUGAUACUUACCUCCUGUCGAUAUUAUCAAUGCAGGUUCCUGUUGUGUCAACUGAAGAACUUUAAAAUGUGAUCCUAUGCAUCGAUACGUACCUCCUAUGGAUAUUGGCAUUGCAGGAAUCUGUUGCAUCAACUGAAGAACUUUGAGGCGUUUCGAAGAAUUUCCGCAAGAUGGCGGGGGCGGACUUAAGCCGAAGAAAUCAACGGGUGAAGAAGCGCGUUAAUGAAAUUGGGUGUACUGCAGACAAAGUAACGUUCAGAAGUCGAUUGGAGCUGUUUAUCUUAAAAAAUUAUAAAAGAUUCGAUAAUUCACCGUAGCAUACGAAUAUAUAGUAUGUAAUGGAUUGGGACUGUUUAAAUGAUACCAAAAAUUGUGUGACUAUUAAAAUUAAAUCAGAAAUGACAUGGAGAUCGAGAGGAUGAAAGACAUGAGACACGAAAAGACAGAGAGAUAAUCUAUUUCUUUAUGUCGCCAUUUAUUAUGUACAAUUGGGUGUACGGGUGCAACAAUGACGUUAUCGGCCUGACCUCUCCGUAUCCUCCCCGAGUAAUAAAAAAAUUUCCCCCUAUUCUUGCCAUUUCUAAAAAUUCCACCAUCAGCAAGAUACCAUUAAAAUCCUAACCAACAAUCUGCAUCUAAUUAUCCCGUUUUAAAAAUUCUCGAAAAAAAAAAGCGGCACUGAGGAUUCCACAAAAAGAAAAAUAUACGCGUCAGAAAUUUUCACUAAUCAUAACGAUAUUAAUUUUUUAACGUUACCCUUAACGUCGUCCCUGCACCCGUGAACGCAAUCGCAACAAUAUACCAGUCGUAUAGAGU
RNAcentral lists this long non-coding RNA (2029 nucleotides) under Orussus abietinus. RNAcentral describes it as "uncharacterized LOC105694778". The record is from RNAcentral. Lineage: Eukaryota; Metazoa; Arthropoda; Insecta; Hymenoptera; Orussidae.